CCUACGGGGGGCUGCAGUGGGGAAUUUUGGACAAUGGGGGCAACCCUGAUCCAGCCAUGCCGCGUGCGGGAAGAAGGCCUUCGGGUUGUAAACCGCUUUUGUCGGGGAAGAAAUCCUCUGGGCUAAUACCCCGGGGGGAUGACGGUACCCGGAGAAUAAGCACCGGCUAACUACGUGCCAGCAGCCGCGGUAAUACGUAGCGUGCAAGCGUUAAUCGGAAUGACUGGGCGUGAAGCGUGCACACGGGGGUGAAAGCCCCGGGCUCAACCUGGGAACUGCAUUUGUGACUGCAUAGCUGGAGUGCGGCAGAGGGGGAUGGAAUUCCGCGUGUAGCAGUGAAAUGCGUAGAUAUGCGGAGGAACACCGAUGGCGAAGGCAAUCCCCUGGGCCUGCACUGACGCUCAUGCACGAAAGCGUGGGGAGCAAGCAGGAUUAGAUACCCUUGUAGUC
RNAcentral lists this ribosomal RNA (450 nucleotides) under uncultured bacterium. RNAcentral describes it as "partial 16S ribosomal RNA". It matches the Rfam family "Bacterial small subunit ribosomal RNA", at positions 338 to 795 of the family's 1533-position model. The record is from RNAcentral.